Molecule: ribosomal RNA, 232 nt
Filed under: uncultured bacterium
Lineage: Bacteria
Description: partial 16S ribosomal RNA
Rfam family: Bacterial small subunit ribosomal RNA
Source: RNAcentral
ACNCGCCGUUCAGCGGGAUAACCCGGAGAAAUCCGGCCUAAUACCGCAUGUGGCCGAGGGGAGGCAUCUUCUUUCGGCCAAAGGAGGCGACUCCGGAGACGGAUGGGCAUGCGUGACAUUAGCUAGUUGGCGGGGUAACGGCCCACCAAGGCGACGAUGUCUAGGGGUUCUGAGAGGAAGGUCCCCCACACUGGUACUGAGACACGGACCAGACUCCUACGGGAGGCAGCAG